Brachypodium distachyon (stiff brome) is the source of this 1355-nucleotide long non-coding RNA. RefSeq lists it as uncharacterized. The transcript is spliced from 6 exons. Lineage: Eukaryota; Viridiplantae; Streptophyta; Magnoliopsida; Poales; Poaceae. The record is from RefSeq and is a predicted model, not a curated record.
UUAUCCAUUCCCACGUCUAUUCUCCAUUCGUUCCGAAUUACUCUUCGUCUUCCAUGGGCGAGGCCAUGGGCUGCGCCGCCGCGGAGGCGAGGACCAAGGCCAUGCCGCUGCUCCACCGAGGAGGCAAGGAGGAGGGUCGUGCCGCUGCGCCGCUGAGCCCUCGCCUCGUCGCAGCCCCUCUCCCCGCCGUCCCCGAGCCCCGAGAUUUCCCUGCGACGGUGACGGCGAACAUGCUCCGCCGCCAUGGAGGCGAGGAUGAGAGCCGUGCCGCUGAGCCGUUGAGCCCUCGCGCCGUCGCAGCCCCUCUCCUCGUCGCCCCCGAGCCCCGAGGUCUCCCAGCAACGGCGAUGGCGAACAUGCUGGUUUCGGAGAUGCAGCUGCCUCCCCUCCUCGACCACCUCCUCGCCGCGCCCCACCUCACCAUGGCUAAGGUCACCGAGCGCCAAUGCCCAUCCCAGAUCUUUGAAACAAGAACUAGAGGCCUUGUUGCAUGAUGAUAUUGGUGCACUAGAUAUUGAGGAGAAUGAAGCCAUGGAGGUGGAUAACUUAUUUGUGCUACUGUUAUUUGUGAACCUUAACUAGAUUAUUGUGAUAAUCAAGCACCCUAGACGAUGGUGAACAACGAGGCCUCGGUGAAUAUGUGUGAUCAACAUUUCUAGUUCUCUACACAGCUAAUCGAUACGUGCCCAUUGAUGGUGAAAAUGUGGGCUUGAUUAGGAGCUCAUAUGGUCUACAUUAGGAACUCGUAUGGUCAUCAUAGGUCGUGCAGGCUCCCUGCUCCCUGGUUCCAGAUCUGGGCGACGGUUGCUGCCUAGUUGACGUUGCAGGCGUGUGGAGGAGCUUGCCGGCAAGGGUCUUUGGCUGCACGUAGAGUGGUAGACUGCAGGUACCAAGAGUAUAUUUUUUUACGUGCGCUACAUUUGGGGUGAUAUUGCCGGUGAAGAUCUCUACCUCUUCUGCUGUUCAUCUCAUAGCUCGGCGGCCCAUACCCUUUAAAAUUUGUUCAUACCAGGGCUUCAAUCGGCGUCACAGUUUUCGCAGAUCUCAGGUUUCAAAUCAGGUGGGUGCACAAAGCUGGACAGGUAGUAGAGCUAUGCAGAGUUUUGUAUUUUUAAUAGAUGUAGGAGGCCCAUGGAAUUUAGUUCUACAUAAUCGCAACUUUGGUCUACUCAAAUAGUUCAUCACAUGAUCGUUUAGCUCAGCAAUUUGUGAUUUUAUGCUGACGUGUAAAAUAAAAUCCGGCUGUAGUAACUUUUGGAGGUGUACGUGUCCAUCUUUUAGAUUGAAGUAAAUUUUGUUGCUGCUGAGAAAUGCCGUGAGGCACCAGAAAAACAGCGCAAUUUUGUUGCCGCUAA